RNAcentral lists this ribosomal RNA (359 nucleotides) under uncultured bacterium. RNAcentral describes it as "partial 16S ribosomal RNA". It matches the Rfam family "Bacterial small subunit ribosomal RNA", at positions 338 to 714 of the family's 1533-position model. The record is from RNAcentral.
CCUACGGGAGGCAGCAGUGGGGAAUAUUGCACAAUGGGGGAAACCCUGAUGCAGCGACGCCGCGUGAGUGAAGAAGUAUUUCGGUAUGUAAAGCUCUAUCAGCAGGGAAGAAAAUGACGGUACCUGAGUAAGAAGCCCCGGCGAACGACGGGCCAGCAGCCGCGGUAAUACGUAGGGGGCAAGCGUUAUCCGGAUUUACUGGGUGUAAAGGGAGCGUAGACGGCAGCGCAAGUCCGCAGUGAAAUGCCGGGGCUUAACCCCGGAACUGCUUUGGAAACUGUGCAGCUAGCGUGCAGGAGCGGUACGUGGACUUCCUCGUGUCGCGGUCACCUGCGUAGCUCUUAGGAGGACCCCCAGUG